UCCUCUUGUGAUAGACCCAUGAAGAUG
Molecule: small RNA, 27 nt
Filed under: Bombyx mori (domestic silkworm)
Lineage: Eukaryota; Metazoa; Arthropoda; Insecta; Lepidoptera; Bombycidae
Description: ovarian small RNA-27892
Source: RNAcentral